RNAcentral lists this ribosomal RNA (468 nucleotides) under uncultured bacterium. Its description in RNAcentral is "partial 16S ribosomal RNA". It matches the Rfam family "Bacterial small subunit ribosomal RNA", at positions 28 to 507 of the family's 1533-position model. The record is from RNAcentral.
GACGAACGCUGGCGGCGUGCUUAACACAUGCAAGUCGAACGGAAAGGCCCUGCUUUUGUGGGGUGCUCGAGUGGCGAACGGGUGAGUAACACGUGAGUAACCUGCCCUUGACUUUGGGAUAACUUCAGGAAACUGGGGCUAAUACCGGAUAGGAGCUCCUGCUGCAUGGGGGGGGUUGGAAAGUUUCGGCGGUUGGGGAUGGACUCGCGGCUUAUCAGCUUGUUGGUGGGGUAGUGGCUUACCAAGGCUUUGACGGGUAGCCGGCCUGAGAGGGUGACCGGCCACCUUGGGCCUGAGAUACGGCCCAGACUCCUACGGGAGGCAGCAGUGGGGAAUAUUGCACAAUGGGCGGAAGCCUGAUGCAGCAACGCCGCGUGCGGGAUGACGUCCUUCGGGUUGUAAACCGCUUUCGCCUGUGACGAAGCGUGAGUGACGGUAAUGGGUAAAGAAGCACCGGCUAACUACGUG